Molecule: ribosomal RNA, 172 nt
Filed under: uncultured Clostridium sp.
Lineage: Bacteria; Bacillati; Bacillota; Clostridia; Eubacteriales; Clostridiaceae
Description: partial 16S ribosomal RNA
Rfam family: Bacterial small subunit ribosomal RNA
Source: RNAcentral
CCUACGGGAGGCAGCAGUGGGGAAUUUUCCGCAAUGGGCGAAAGCCUGACGGAGCGACGCCGCGUGGGUGAUGAAGUCUUUCGGGAUGUAAAGCCCUUUCAGCAGGGAAGAAGACAGUGACGGUACCUGCAGAAGAAGCAUCGGCUAACUACGUGCCAGCAGCCGCGGUAAU